GAAUAAGCUGGGAGAGAAAGCAUGCAUGCACACGGAUAUUAUGACAGCGGACCAGAACUAGGGUCCAAAGAGAUGCAUCAUGGGAGGAGAGAGAGCACAUCUGGGCACAGCAGUGCGGAAAGCCUUUCUGACUGAAAGAUUCUUGAGCUGGAGGUAGAGGGAUGGACUCCAGGCCUUGUAUUUCAGGAUCCCUGGGAUCCUCUUUGGAGGGAGAACGGUUCUUCUAGCCAUGGCUAUAGAACACCUGCUUUCCUGAAAACUCACCAGGCUGGGCUGGCGGCACCUGGCAGUGUGGAUAAGGGCAUGGUCUGCCCUCCGGCAUGUCAGAAGUCCACUCGGAAUGCCCCUCUCCAGGAGAGCAUGGUCCCAGAGGCUGGCGGGGGGGCAGAUACAACCACACUGGCUGUGAACUCGAGUAACAGGGGCCUGAGGCUUCAUGUAGCAGUCUCCUAUCCUGGCCUGGAGGCCUGAAGAUCAAUGGACUCACCUGGAUUGGUCUAGAAAAGGUUAGCCCUGUCUCCCCUGUCGCUGGCUCCUCUGCACCUCCUUCACUCUCUGUAGACUCACCUGGACUGGUUUAGAAAAGUGCCUGCUUCCUCCCACUAGGAUGUGAUCUUCUUAAGAGGGAAGGAUUGGGGCUGGAGAGAUGGCUCAGCGGUUAAGAGCACUAACUGCUUU
Molecule: long non-coding RNA, 678 nt
Organism: Onychomys torridus (southern grasshopper mouse)
Lineage: Eukaryota; Metazoa; Chordata; Mammalia; Rodentia; Cricetidae
Exons: 5
Source: RefSeq, a predicted model, not a curated record